CCAGCUCCAAUAGCGUAUAUUAAAGUUGUUGCAGUUAAAAAGCUCGUAGUUGGACCUUGGGCAAGAUGCAUCGGGUCAGUCGCAAGACUGGACUCGGUCGUGGCGCCUCUACUGGGGGACUCGUGACCGCGAGGUGGCGAGGCAACCUGCGUUACUGUGAAGAAAUUAGAGUGUUUAAAGCAGGCGAUCGCUUGAAUACAUCAGCAUGGAAUAACAAGACAAGACAUUGGGUCUUCUUGUUGGUUUGGGGAGCAGUGUAAUGAUUAAUAGGGCCAGUUGGGGGCAUUAGUAUUCAGUAGUCAGAGGUGAAAUUCUUGGAUUUACUGAAGACUAACUAGUGCGAAAGCAUUUGCCAAGGAUGUUUUCAUUAAUCAAGAACGAAAGUUAGGGGAUCGAAGACGAUCAGAUACCGUCGUAGUCUUAACUAUAAACGAUGCCGACUAAGGAUCGGCAGAAGUCGUUAGCGACUCUGUCGGCACUUUGUGAGAAAUCAAAGUUUUUGGGUUCUGGGGGGAGUAUGGUCGCAAGGCUGAAACUUAAAGGAAUUGACGGAAGGGCACCACCAGGAGUGGAGCCUGCGGCUUAAUUCGACUCAAC
This 597-nucleotide ribosomal RNA is filed under the name uncultured eukaryote. RNAcentral's name for it is "bacterial SSU rRNA". It matches the Rfam family "Eukaryotic small subunit ribosomal RNA", at positions 585 to 1204 of the family's 1831-position model. The record is from RNAcentral.